CGCGUAGGCGGUUUUUUAAGUCAGAUGUGAAAGCCCGGGGCUUAACCCCGGAAGUGCAUUUGAAACUGAAGGACUUGAGUAUGGGAGAGGGAAGUGGAAUUCCUGGUGUAGAGGUGAAAUUCGUAGAUAUCAGGAGGAACACCGGUGGCGAAGGCGACUUCCUGGACCAAUACUGACGCUGAGGCGCAAGGCGUGGGGAGCAAACAGGAUUAGAUACCCUGGUAGUC
This 227-nucleotide ribosomal RNA is filed under the name uncultured bacterium. RNAcentral describes it as "partial 16S ribosomal RNA". It matches the Rfam family "Bacterial small subunit ribosomal RNA", at positions 568 to 795 of the family's 1533-position model. The record is from RNAcentral.